GACGUAGGGCGCGAGCGUUGUCCGGAAUUAUUGGGCGUAAAGAGCUCGUAGGCGGUCUGUCACGUCGGCUGUGAAAACCCGAGGCUCAACCUCGGGCCUGCAGUCGAUACGGGCAAACUAGAGUACUGCAGGGGAGAGUGGAAUUCCUGGUGUAGCGGUGAAAUGCGCAGAUAUCAGGAGGAACACCGGUGGCGAAGGCGGGUCUCUGGGCAGUAACUGACGCUGAGGAGCGAAAGCGUGGGGAGCGAACAGG
RNAcentral lists this ribosomal RNA (253 nucleotides) under uncultured bacterium. RNAcentral describes it as "partial 16S ribosomal RNA". It matches the Rfam family "Bacterial small subunit ribosomal RNA", at positions 524 to 776 of the family's 1533-position model. The record is from RNAcentral.